Molecule: non-coding RNA, 73 nt
Organism: Candidatus Parvarchaeum acidophilus ARMAN-5
Lineage: Archaea; Nanobdellati; Candidatus Parvarchaeota
Source: Rfam
GGGCCUAUGGUCUAGUGGUUAUGACGUCUGCCUUACACGCAGAAGGCCGGGAGUUCGAACCUCCCUGGGCCCA